Molecule: unclassified non-coding RNA, 2985 nt
Filed under: Hevea brasiliensis (rubber tree)
Lineage: Eukaryota; Viridiplantae; Streptophyta; Magnoliopsida; Malpighiales; Euphorbiaceae
Source: RNAcentral
UGGAAGGGGUUUAGGGACAUCCAGACAAUGGCACGGUAUAUUUAAUAUGUAAUGCAAGCAUCAUGUUUCUUUGAUACUAUUUUGCACUUCACAAGCACCAAGAGAAGAUUAGAGGCAGUCAGUAGUUCAGUAUGCCAAUGCUUAAUUUAUCUUACAUUUUUUGCAAAGAAAUUGGGCCAUUCUCAUGCCCAAGUUGGAAGGGAAAGAAUAUCCCACCUUUCCUGCUUUCCUUCCAGGCAUCCAGUAUUUCAUUUGCUGAUGGCAAAUUAGAUGCAUGAGAAUCAUCAAUUUGAUUUAUGGGUAUUUCAUAUUCCAUCUGAUCAAAAUCUUGGAAAGGUCCAUCUAAAUGAUCAGCAGAUGAACCAGAUGCCACAUCAUUAACAAAAGCCUCCAUGCUUGUAUAGUUGGCUAUUCCAUCUUGGUCAAUACUGGAGCAGUUUUGUGAGCUAGAGAUCUCAUAUCUAUCCUCACCACCCUCUCUGCCAGUACUGUAGUGAUUAACACUGAACUUGCCAUAUGCACCAUCAGUUUUAUUAACAAUCUCAUCGUCUUGCAUCUCUGGAGUUCCAUUUACUGUAUUUGCACAAGAAAUUGGGAUCUCCCUUCUCUCGUCACUGAUCAUUUCCUUACUGUCAAUAUCCAAACCUAAACCAUCUGCGUCUUCAAUGUCCGAAGCAAUGGAUCUUGAUAAGUAUGCUGAUGUGCCACAUUCACAUAGAGAACACAGUGAUCUUGACAAGUUUGCUACUGUAGGCUCUGAUGCCACAUCAGAAUUACCAAGUUUAUGAAGCAGCUUCUCUAAAAAAUCCUUAGUGAUUUUAUCAUCAUUCUUUUGAAAAAGAGCUGUCCACUGCCUUUCACUGAUUUGAAAUGGGGCAUGAGCUAUAGUGUUUAUCAGGAUAAGAGCUCUUUCAUAAUUCUGUUGAGUUGUGGCUUCAUACACCAUUUCAGUGAAUAGGGAACGAUGAGGAAUGUCUCCAGCUUCCAAAGCUGAAUCAAAUGCAUGCUCCAGAAUAUGACCCUUUCCAGCUCUAGAUGCUUUCACAAGUAGUGAUGCAUGCUUGCAUUGAUCUAGUUGAUGCCCAGAGAAGACCAUGUCCUUGUACACAACUUCAAAGUAAUCCCACUGAAGUGCACUAGCAGUUGCCUCGAGCAUUGAGCUAUAUGUGUACUCAUCGGGUACAGGGGAAGUAUCACUGCCACUGGCUCUCUUAAUUUUCUCAAAUAACUCCUUGGCUUCAGAGAACAAAUCAUUCCGGCCAUAGACUUUCAACAUAACAUUUAUGGUCCCUAUGUUAGGGACACAUUGUGUUUUCAUGUAUUCAAAGAUAGAAAUGCAAUCAUUGACAUGUCCACCAUCUAGGGAAGACAUUAUCAUGCCAGUGAAUGUAACCUCCAAAGGUUUCUUAUAACGAAGUUUUUUCAUCUUCUCAACCUCCGGAAUAGCAUCUUGCCACCUCCCAUUGUUGCAAAGGCAGCAAGAUAAUUCAUAAUAUACGCUGGCUGUUCCAACGACUCCUCUUUGUUCCAUAUCUCUCACUACUUCCACUGCUUCAUUGACUUUACCUUCCUCCCAAAAAGCUCUGAUAAGAACUUUAUAUGUAAGUGCUUUCGGAGCUUCUCCACUUCGGUUCAUUUUCCUAAAUAACUCAUGGACAAGGUUGUACUUGCCAGAAUGCAACAUUACCUCCAUAGCUAAUCCAUAUGUAGUUCCAUUGGGCUUAAGACCACUCUUUCUCAACUGCUCAAACACCCAUGACACCCCCUUCCACUGCUGGGACGGAACACAGGCAUUCAGUACAGCAUUAUAAAUAACUAAAUCUGGUUCAAGUAUUGGGUCCCAGUUCUUGAAGUGCAUAUGAUUAAUUCUUUUAGAAGGUUUCUGCCUCAGACAUUCAAUAAUUUUAACCAGCUCUUUGAGAAGGCCAGCUUGACCAAGUGUAACAGCAAUGAUAUGAUAUGCGGCCAUGUCAGGAUAUAUAUUGUAGUCUUCACGCAUCAAAUUAAAAAUGCGAAGUGCUUCUUGGGGCCUUCUUUCCUUCCUGAGCACUGACAAGAGUUUUGUGUAAACAAACCUACAAAAAGAAUUGAUUACUUUCUAUGGUAAAACAUAAAGUUCUAACUAGUUUACAAUGUAAUUACACAAUUCCAAGCACAAAAAAGAAGUAUGCAAUAGACAGUUAAAAAUAAAUUUGACUGCACUAGAUGAUAACCAUAUUGGAAAGAAAUAAUAGAAAAAAGCAUUUGAAGUUGCAUCUUGUACAAUCUAAUGCAUAGUUUCAGAAAAUGCAAUGAAUUGCCCAAAGACAUCUUAGGUCCCGUUUGACAUUGAAUUUCAGGGGCUAAAAAUACUGUUUAGAAAAAUCACCAUUUUUAGAUUUGUUGAAAAAAAAAAGGUGUUUUGUUAUUUUGGUGAUCUUAUAACUAAAACAUCUCAAAUUUAAUUUUAAAUCAAUUUUUAACUAAUAUAUUUAAAAAAAUAUUUUUUUUUUCAAUAGUUAUAACAGAAAUGCCAAAAUAGACCUUACACUGGUAGUAGCUCCUCCAACCUACCUACUAUUUCCCAGGUGAUAACUACAGUUUAAAAUCCUUAUUUUAUCAAGACAAAGCAUAUGAUAUAAAACAUUCUUGCAAACCAUAUGCAAGACCAAUCUUGUUUUAUGUGGGGGCAGAACAGGGUUGUAAAAUCAUAUUACAACAUCCACAACAUUUGUCAAUGAUAAGUCAUGUCACCUGUAAUAUAACAAAAGAUACGGUGAAACGAAAAAUAAAAAAUAAAAAAUGUCACAGUAUUACAGUAAGAAAUUAUCCAAUAAAAGAAAAGCUCAUUUUAUAGUUGUCAAUUAGUAGAACUUCACGACCUUGCAUGGGGGCGUACUGUGUAUAUGAGUCAAUCUACUUGAGUUCGACACCAAAAAUACUCAAAAUCUACUUGAUUAAAAUCCAUUCGAGUUUGAGUAGCCAAAAUGAUUGCCCUGGAGCUAG